This 259-nucleotide ribosomal RNA is filed under the name uncultured prokaryote. RNAcentral's name for it is "partial 16S ribosomal RNA". It matches the Rfam family "Bacterial small subunit ribosomal RNA", at positions 524 to 782 of the family's 1533-position model. The record is from RNAcentral.
UACGUAGGUGGCAAGCGUUGUCCGGAUUUACUGGGUGUAAAGGGCGUGUAGGCGGGAUUGCAAGUCAGGCGUGAAAACUAUGGGCUUAACCCAUAGCCUGCGUUUGAAACUGCAGUUCUUGAGUGAUGGAGAGGCAGGCGGAAUUCCUAGUGUAGCGGUGAAAUGCAUAGAUAUUAGGAGGAACACCAGUGGCGAAGGCGGCCUGCUGGACAUUAACUGACGCUGAGGCGCGAAAGCGUGGGGAGCAAACAGGAUUAGA